This 202-nucleotide long non-coding RNA is filed under the name Lathyrus oleraceus (garden pea). RNAcentral describes it as "Pisum sativum (pea) long non-coding RNA (PSAT_LNC003548)". The record is from RNAcentral. Lineage: Eukaryota; Viridiplantae; Streptophyta; Magnoliopsida; Fabales; Fabaceae.
UAAAGUCUAUGAAUUGAGGUGAAUACUUUAAACAACUGGGUCAGGCGUCCCGUAUCCCAAGAUAUUGGGAAUGAGGAUAGGAAUACUCCCUCUCAUCCUUCCUUUUUUUCCCCAAUCUCUCGUUUUCUCUCUCUCCACCAUGGCCGGAAUUUCACCAUUGUCAAAACCCAACCAAAACUCAACACAAAUUCACCCUUUAAAU